UACGGGGGGUGCAAGCGUUGUUCGGAAUUACUGGGCGUAAAGGGCUCGUAGGUGGCCAACUAAGUCAUACGUGAAAUCCCUCAGCUUAACUGGGGAACUGCGUCUGAUACUGGAUGGCUUGAGUUUGGGAGAGGGAUGCGGAAUUCCAGGUGUAGCGGUGAAAUGCGUAGAUAUCUGGAGGAACACCGGUGGCGAAGGCGGCAUCCUGGACCAAUACUGACACUGAGGAGCGAAAGCCAGGGGAGCAAACAGG
This 253-nucleotide ribosomal RNA is filed under the name uncultured bacterium. RNAcentral describes it as "partial 16S ribosomal RNA". It matches the Rfam family "Bacterial small subunit ribosomal RNA", at positions 524 to 776 of the family's 1533-position model. The record is from RNAcentral.